CCUACGGGAGGCAGCAGUGGGGAAUAUUGGACAAUGGGGGCAACCCUGAUCCAGCCAUGCCGCGUGUGUGAAGAAGGCCCUCGGGUUGUAAAGCACUUUCAGUGAGGAAGAACGCCUGGUGGUUAAUACCCAUCAGUAAAGACAUCACUCACAGAAGAAGCACCGGCUAACUCCGUGCCAGCAGCCGCGGUAAUACGGAGGGUGCGAGCGUUAAUCGGAAUUACUGGGCGUAAAGCGCGCGUAGGUGGCUUGAUAAGCCGGUUGUGAAAGCCCCGGGCUCAACCUGGGAACGGCAUCCGGAACUGUCAAGCUAGAGUGCAGGAGAGGAAGGUAGAAUUCCCGGUGUAGCGGUGAAAUGCGUAGAGAUCGGGAGGAAUACCAGUGGCGAAGGCGGCCUUCUGGACUGACACUGACACUGAGGUGCGAAAGCGUGGGUAGCAAACAGGAUUAGAUACCCGAGUAGUC
This 465-nucleotide ribosomal RNA is filed under the name Vreelandella stevensii. RNAcentral describes it as "partial 16S ribosomal RNA". It matches the Rfam family "Bacterial small subunit ribosomal RNA", at positions 338 to 795 of the family's 1533-position model. Lineage: Bacteria; Pseudomonadati; Pseudomonadota; Gammaproteobacteria; Oceanospirillales; Halomonadaceae. The record is from RNAcentral.